UCCUACGGGAGGCAGCAGUGGGGAAUAUUGCACAAUGGGCGCAAGCCUGAUGCAGCCAUGCCGCGUGUAUGAAGAAGGCCUUCGGGUUGUAAAGUACUUUCAGCGGGGAGGAAGGGAGUGAAGUUAAUACCUUUGCUCAUUGACGAACUUACAGA
This 155-nucleotide ribosomal RNA is filed under the name uncultured bacterium. Its description in RNAcentral is "partial 16S ribosomal RNA". It matches the Rfam family "Bacterial small subunit ribosomal RNA", at positions 337 to 497 of the family's 1533-position model. The record is from RNAcentral.